This 492-nucleotide ribosomal RNA is filed under the name uncultured bacterium. Its description in RNAcentral is "partial 16S ribosomal RNA". It matches the Rfam family "Bacterial small subunit ribosomal RNA", at positions 29 to 507 of the family's 1533-position model. The record is from RNAcentral.
AGUGAACGCUGGCGGUAGGCCUAACACAUGCAAGUCGAACGGCAGCACAGUAAGAGCUUGCUCUUACGGGUGGCGAGUGGCGGACGGGUGAGGAAUACAUCGGAAUCUACUUUUUCGUGGGGGAUAACGUAGGGAAACUUACGCUAAUACCGCAUACGACCUACGGGUGAAAGCAGGGGAUCUUCGGACCUUGCGCGAUUGAAUGAGCCGAUGUCGGAUUAGCUAGUUGGCGGGGUAAAGGCCCACCAAGGCGACGAUCCGUAGCUGGUCUGAGAGGAUGAUCAGCCACAUUGGAACUGAGACACGGUCCAGACUCCUACGGGAGGCAGCAGUGGGGAAUAUUGGACAAUGGGCGCAAGCCUGAUCCAGCCAUACCGCGUGGGUGAAGAAGGCCUUCGGGUUGUAAAGCCCUUUUGUUGGGUAAGAAAAGCAGCAGGUUAAUACCCCGCUGUUCUGACGGUACCCAAAGAAUAAGCACCGGCUAACUUCGUG